UAAAAUAAAAGUAUUAGUCACGACUUUCUAUUUCUGUUGCGUUGUUGUUACGUCUUUUUGCAUUUCAGGUGACGACAUGGAAAAUUGUAUGAGAAGAAUAGAAAAUAGUUUGAUAGCGGUAAAACAAUUAUUGAUUGGCACAAAGAGGAUGUGUGAAUUAAGAAAAUAUUUUUUGUUUUACAAGAACAACUUGCAUUUUUCAUUGGUUCUUCUUUUUUGCAGUUGAGUUCCGCGCAUACGAAUAGAACGUUUAUUUUCUAUUUCGACCACGCACACAAAGGUGGGGUUAUAUUCAAGUGCCAUCUAACCAUAGGCAAACCAAUUAAGUUCCGUUAUUCGUACUUAACUUCUCAAUGCAUUUAACAUUAGUUUAACACAUAUAUUUUUAAGCCACUCGUUAGGUGAGAAAAAAUUGCCAAAUUUGUGACACCGUGUUUGGGUUAUUUUGCUGGCAGUAGAGGGUUAACUUGCAAAAAUUUGCCAGCAUGAAAUACUAUUCUAUGAGGUAAUUUCUGCGAAUAAACAACAAAUUAUCAGUUGUUCAUGAAACUUGCAUAUUGUUACGGGUUUUGCGUUCACGUACUUUUCUGGAUGUUUUUCUCUGUAAGAGCGAAUUCUCGGAAAUUAUUUUGCUGGUAACUUACUCGACAAUUUUUACAUGAACAGACCUAAAAACUUUACAACAGCUGACGGUUUGUUUAUAGUUGCGUUCAAAGCCGUCAUCAUAGUUGGAAAUCCAUCCCCAUUUCUUUCACGAAUACACUUUUUGUAAGCUGGGAUGAGUUAUGGAUAAACCAUUCAUUAUAAGCCUUUAUAAAUAAUUUUUAGUUCUAAAACAAAAACACCAAAAAUCAGAGUUUAAAACCUUGUGCACAAUUAAAGACAGUUCUGCCAAAUUUAAAUAAAAUAUUGCACUUUUUAAUUACACUCUUUAGAAAAAUAUUGGGUAUGCAGUUUUUUUUAGCCUAUUCAAUUUUAGUACAAUAAAGUGCAAGUCUGAGGUAUGUAGCUAGGACCUACCAAUGAAUUUUCUCCAUA
Molecule: long non-coding RNA, 1038 nt
Organism: Rhagoletis zephyria (snowberry fruit fly)
Lineage: Eukaryota; Metazoa; Arthropoda; Insecta; Diptera; Tephritidae
Source: RefSeq, a predicted model, not a curated record